RNAcentral lists this ribosomal RNA (382 nucleotides) under Vibrio sp. HR06-03. RNAcentral's name for it is "bacterial SSU rRNA". It matches the Rfam family "Bacterial small subunit ribosomal RNA", at positions 139 to 516 of the family's 1533-position model. Lineage: Bacteria; Pseudomonadati; Pseudomonadota; Gammaproteobacteria; Vibrionales; Vibrionaceae. The record is from RNAcentral.
GGGGAUAACCAUUGGAAACGAUGGCUAAUACCGCAUAAUGCCUUCGGGCCAAAGAGGGGGACCUUCGGGCCUCUCGCGUCAGGAUAUGCCCAGGUGGGAUUAGCUAGUUGGUGAGGUAAUGGCUCACCAAGGCGACGAUCCCUAGCUGGUCUGAGAGGAUGAUCAGCCACACUGGAACUGAGACACGGUCCAGACUCCUACGGGAGGCAGCAGUGGGGAAUAUUGCACAAUGGGCGCAAGCCUGAUGCAGCCAUGCCGCGUGUAUGAAGAAGGCCUUCGGGUUGUAAAGUACUUUCAGCAGUGAGGAAGGUUCAUNCNNUAAUAGCGUAUGGAUUUGACGUUAGCUGCAGAAGAAGCACCGGCUAACUCCGUGCCAGCAGCC